Molecule: long non-coding RNA, 501 nt
Filed under: Mytilus galloprovincialis (Mediterranean mussel)
Lineage: Eukaryota; Metazoa; Mollusca; Bivalvia; Mytilida; Mytilidae
Source: RNAcentral
AUUGUAUCUCAUGCCUUCUUCGUUUCGGGCUUGAUGGGCAUAGUUUAACAGGACUGUAAAUGUGUGCCAUAUUCCGGGUCUGAAACGUGACCGUAGGAUUUGAUUUGUAUAUUACAAUUAUAACAAAACUAUCAAUUAAAAAAAAACCAAUUCAAGUUAUAAAAACCAAAAAAAAAUAUUUCCAAUUACAAAACAACGAUCUUCAAACUAACUGGACUAUUCCAAAUAUACAAUUUGACCAUACAACAAGCAUAAAAAAGAAAUGAAGUUUGUGACAAUUGUCCUAGUUAAUGACCUGGUAGUGUAAGCUACAAAACGAAUAACCGCACGAGAAAAGGCGUGUUUGAAACAAGGCAAAAUUAUCUCUAAAUUUGUGUUUUAAAUUGCUAUUUUCUUCUCACCGAUUAACAUAACACGAAAGAUAUUUGGCACACAUAUGAACCAUGUGUUAUUGAUGUAAUCAGAGUAAAAAUCCCGUGAAAGUAACACGCAAUAAAUUUU